GCGGCGUGCUUCAUACAUGCAAGUCGAACGAGAAGCAGGAGCUUGCUCCUGUGGAAAGUGGCGGACGGGUGAGUAACACGUAGGAAAUCUGCCUUUGGGUGGGGGACAACAGUUGGAAACGACUGCUAAUACCCCAUAUGAGCUUGGUUGCAAUACCAAUCUUGAAAACUCCGGUGCCUAAAGAUGAGCCUGCGUCUGAUUAGCUUGUUGGCGGGGUAAUGGCCCACCAAGGCGACGAUCAGUAGCUGGUUUGAGAGGAUGAGCAGCCACAAUGGGACUGAGACACGGCCCAGACUCCUACGGGAGGCGGCAGUAGGGAAUUUUGCGCAAUGGGGGAAACCCUGACGCAGCAACGCCGCGUGAAUGACGAAGCCCUUCGGGGUGUAAAGUUCUGUCAGUAGGGAAGAAUUUUGACUGUACCUACAAAGGAAGCACCGGCUAACUCCGUGCCAGCCGCCGCCGUAA
This 465-nucleotide ribosomal RNA is filed under the name uncultured bacterium. RNAcentral describes it as "partial 16S ribosomal RNA". It matches the Rfam family "Bacterial small subunit ribosomal RNA", at positions 39 to 523 of the family's 1533-position model. The record is from RNAcentral.